This is a long non-coding RNA of Canis lupus familiaris (dog), 2670 nucleotides long. RefSeq lists it as uncharacterized. NCBI's taxonomy places the organism in Eukaryota, Metazoa, Chordata, Mammalia, Carnivora, Canidae. The transcript has 2 exons. The record is from RefSeq and is a predicted model, not a curated record.
ACUCGAUGGAGAGGCUGACGAUCUCGUUGUCGCUCAGAGCCCCCUUCUCCUGCUCCAGGACCUCGCCGCGGUCCUCAUUGGAGCCAUUGGGGACUGCAGAAGAAGAGAGCUCUGAGGGGGUGGCCUAAGACGGCGAAAGGAGCCCCUCCAAGGACCCCGGGACCUCAGCGUUCAUCGGGGUGAGUCCAGCCAUCCUCUAGGCUGGGACGGUGGUGUGGCGGUCUGUGCAAGAGGGACAGCCCACGUGCUAGCGGCAGCACCACACGCUCCCACGAACGGACACGUGCACACACUCACCUUCAGUCAGGGGGUACGCUGCGUAGAAGUCCCGCCGCCGUUUCAUCUCAUCUGGAAGAGGGAGGCAGGGUGAGGAUGGGAGCACCAGGCAGGGAAGUGGGGGGCAGCAGGGCAGACAAAGGGUGUGCAGAUACCUUUAAAAAGCCCAGGGACCAGUUUAUAGACGAUGUCUUGGAGGGUCUUGUCAGAUCUGGAAAAAACGUACGGAGUCCUGUGGGUGACCACUUCACCCUCCUCUCCCCAGCCAGGAAUCCCUACUCCCACCUCCCUUCCUUGAUCCAGGGCCCAGCUAUCAGGGUCCCUGGAGGUGUGGUCUUUACCCCUCUGGCAUUUCGCAGCCUAGACAAGCUGGAUAUAGAACAAGGGGAGGGGCAGGGCCCUGGGUUGACGCCCUGUGCUUCUCCCCUCUGCCACCUUGGCUGUCGGAAGCAGGGACGCCUGAGGACAGAGGGCAGCAGCCCCAGAGGAUCGGCGUGGCAGGAGGGACAGCGCCAGGCCCACCUGAUGCUCAGCAGCGGUCUGGUUUUAUGGACCUGCACGUCACACAUGGGGCAGUACUUGUUGGUCUCCAGGUAGCGCACGAUGCAGGUUUUGCAGACUUAGGGGUGUGGAGAAAGAAAGCGGAGUCAGAGCCCCCUUUGUAAUCCAGGACCAACGCUCACUGCUCACAUUCAGGUAUCCCCUCCUCUCCAGCUUGUCCCCACAGCUCAGCCCACUCAGAGGCUCAACGUGGUCCUAUUUUGCAUAGAUGGCAAUCGCCCCUUGUCUAUCCUCAGAGGACGGAGUGUGGGUGUGUUUGUGUCAGACCAGUGUUGUGUCCCAAGCGGGUGAGCCCCAAGUCUGACAGAGUACAGAACAAGAGCCAGCCUGUCGGGACACCUCCCAGGGUCCCUGACCCCUUGCCACCAAGCCCAGAGUGCACGUGAGGGGCACCUGCAUCUUCCAAGACUGCCAGUGCAGGGGACCCAUGAGGGUUCAGGUGAAAGCUUCUGAAACAAACCUCUGGGCUGAACCCUCGAGGCUCCCCACCCCAGUAGUCUUCCUGAGACCAGGGACCACCACCAGACAUGUGGACACGUGCUCUCUUCAGGGCAGGAGCUCAUGCUCUGCCCUCCCAAGGCCAUGCCCCUCCGACCCAGGCAGAGACCGCCCACCCUGAGAGGCAGCCCCUCCACCCAACUCACAGGAAUGCAAGCACUCCACGAUGGUAGUAGCAUCAAUGAAGUACCCCCCGCAGAGGGCACACAUGAGGUGAGGAUUCAGCUCCGUGAUUUUGAUCCGGGUGGUCCGGUGCAUGAUGCCGGGGUGGGGGACAGGGGGCCUGGGGAGCGUCACCCUGAGAAAUGAGAGUGGAAUCAGACAUCCAGAGACCAGACAGCCCUUCCCACAGUCCCCUCCUCACCACCCGACAUCUGGCCCCAAGCCCAAAACCCUUGCUUUCUGCCUCCCAGGCUAGACUGGCUACGCGACUGGGACUGGCUCCUCCUGGUCCCUGUGUGUUCCCUGGACUGGGGAGCUGUGGAGAGUCCUACGACCUUGGGCAAUGAGGUCAGGCUCCAUCUCAAGAGCAGGAGCAGUCUGAAGUGAGAACAACUCUCCAGAGGAUAUAGGGAGGCAGGAAAAAUGGAAGAGAAUAGUUUUUAAAAAUGUCCCUGAUGUUCCCCAACCCCAUAUUCUCUCAUGUGAGUGCUAGGAACUGAGGAAACAUAGAUUCUCCCUCUACCUGGAUAUGAGCCACCCCCCAACUGCCGCCUGGGUCUCUCUGCUCCAUCCUCCUCUCCUUCCAUCCCAACACUUCUUCUUCCAGGAAGCCCUGAAAACACCAUAGGCAUGGACCACCCUAAGACUAGAAGGAGCACCUCAUCGCUUGUCUUCCUAGCUCAGCAUCCAGCCUGGCCCUGGGUCUGGUGCUCAUAUGCCCACAGUGGGGACCAUGUAGCUCCAGCCUGACCCCGGCCCUGGGCCCUGAAGGACCAGAAAUUCGCAGCCAGGAUCAACAGUUUCUAUAGAGACCCCAGGAUGAGUUUGGCCAGGACCCAAACAGCCAACAGAGGCUGGCCAGAGACCGAAAGAGAUGGAGAGACGCACAAAGGCCACAUGUGGGUGAGACAGCAAGUCUGCAGGGCAGACGGAGGGGAAACGGGCAAGCCCAGGGAGCCAGUGGACACGCAGCAACCGGGCAGCAGCAAUCUGGCUUCGGGAAGGAGGGGUGCCUGUCUCUCAGAGGGCAGCCCCAGGGCCAGACCCUCUCUACAAGGGUUCCCCCUUAAAAAUGAUUCAGACUCGCUGGCUACUCCACUGUUUGGUUGUUUCCAUAGUAACCCUGGCCCUGGCAAGAUGCCCAAAUAUUAUUACAACCAUCCAGAGAGCAAA